AGCCCUGGGCCCUUCCCUGAGAGAACCCCGCGCUCCCCCAGGGACCCACCCCACUUCCAGGAGCAAGAGUGGUCUAGCGUCGCUCCAAGGUAGAUUGGAUUCCAACAGAGGGAAAGUGACACCCUAUUCCAAAUGAUGGCCCUACUGGACAGCAGGGAAGUCUAAGCUACACUGUCAGCUUCAUCUGAGUUAACCAGCAUCUGAAUGGGACUUUUCAAUCCUGUUAAGGUUUUCUUAAGUUUGAGUUACUUACUCAUCAUCUGGAGUGAGCUGGACAGGUUCAUUAGUGAACUGGGAAUCAAAGUUAUCCAGACCAAAUUCACCUGAUAUAUUUGGUUUAAAUGGAGGAACCACCUGUUUUUGUUCCAUCUAUAAAUAAUUUAAAGAUGGAAGGCAGUACUCGGGAAGGAGAAGGAAUGGAGACUUAAAAGCAUUUAAAACAGAUUCCAGAUUCCUAUCCCAAACCUUUGUUUGCAGAAAUGGUAUAUCACAACUGGUUGCAUCAAAAUGGUGGAAAAUUGUAGAAGUGAUGUUCCUGACCAGACCACCACUGAAUUCUUUUUUUAAAUCAAAAUUCUGACCUGCAACUGUUCUCCAGCCAGUUCAGCAUCAGAGUGCGCUUUUAGCACAUUUGUAUUGAUUUGGGUGAAACUAACGGUCUACUGCUUGAACAAGUAAAUAGAAAAAGUACUGGUAUGCAAGAGCUGAUACAAAAGAGUGGCAGAUUUAACUAGUUAAUAGACUGGGAAUUAUCUUUUGUUUUAGAAA
Mauremys mutica (yellowpond turtle) is the source of this 768-nucleotide long non-coding RNA. RefSeq lists it as uncharacterized. The record is from RefSeq and is a predicted model, not a curated record. The transcript is spliced from 6 exons. Lineage: Eukaryota; Metazoa; Chordata; Testudines; Geoemydidae.